UACAGAGGGUGCGAGCGUUAAUCGGAAUUACUGGGCGUAAAGCGUGCGUAGACGGUUUCGUAAGUCGGGUGUGAAAUCCCCGGGCUCAACCUGGGAAUUGCAUUCGAAACUGCGAGGCUAGGGUACGGAAGAGGGAAGCGGAAUUUCUGGUGUAGCGGUGAAAUGCGUAGAUAUCAGAAGGAACAUCAGUGGCGAAAGCGGCUUCCUGGUCCAGUACAGACGUUCAGGCACGAAAGCGUGGGGAGCAAACAGG
Molecule: ribosomal RNA, 253 nt
Filed under: uncultured bacterium
Lineage: Bacteria
Description: partial 16S ribosomal RNA
Rfam family: Bacterial small subunit ribosomal RNA
Source: RNAcentral